Non-coding RNA from Nomia melanderi (Alkali bee), 3436 nucleotides. NCBI's taxonomy places the organism in Eukaryota, Metazoa, Arthropoda, Insecta, Hymenoptera, Halictidae. The record is from RefSeq and is a predicted model, not a curated record.
GUGACCCGGCCGAUGCAUCGUGACGUUCAUAACGUUCAUCCACCUCCCGGCUCUUUAAAUCGCGUUUCGCCGGCCGGCGUCACGUACGGCGGUCUGCGGCCGCACUGUACGCUUCAUUAUGUUGAUUAUUCGGGGAAUUAUGGUUCGAACGGAGUCGACGCGGCUAAGUAAUUAGAUGCGUGUACAGUGGUAACCUCGAUCGUCGGAUCCAAUUGGCUGAUUAGAGGCUCAUGCAUAUGGAAAGUCGAGGAGGCAUUGUUCGGAGGAUGUUUCCAAGAUUCUGUUACAUAUACCGUGAGUUCUGAAUACAAGGAUUCGAAGUGUUAGGUUCGCGGACGGUCGGAACUCCGAAUUGUUUGGAUUAUGAGAAACGGUGACUCGGUUCUGCGAGAUCCUACUGUAUAAAUUCCGACGUCUGUAUGCAUGUAUUCAAACGUAAUUCGUGAGAACGACAGUUUGUCGGACAAUGUAUUCAGCGCAACUGCAGCUUUAGGCUUAAGCUGGGCGCACACGACAGAAAUGUCGCGGUUCAGUUUGUUUUGCAGUUCCGUCUGGCAGAAAGAAGGAUAAAAGAACUUUAUGUAAUUUCUGCUCGCGCAUGAAAUUGACUGCGUCUUAACGUGUCGCGAAACGUGAGCGUCGUCAAUAGACACGUGACUGCCGGCUCCUGACAGAUGGGAUAUUUGUAAGUGAAUACGUGGAAACUUCUCUGUGCGUUUCCAUGAAUCGAUUGAAAAGUGAAAACAAUGGCCCCUUGGUGAACUGCUAUCUUUCAUAAAAUAAAUACACAAGUCGAUCGUUUAAUGAUCGUAGCAGAAGGAAACAGAAAAUAUGCACUCGGAAUGCUCCGGGAGGUUGAAUUCCAGAGUGUUCCACAGAUGGAUACAGCAGGUAAUCAAUAGUCGGAGCAGACGAGUUUUAUACGCGUGCAUGUAUGCAAGCGGGUAUAUAUAAACUCGUGUUUUCGUUACUGGAAAACGAAAAUGAGUGCAGCACACUGGGAGAAAUAUGUCUCGUAAAUAUGUAUUCGAUUCGACCUAGAUUCCUCCAAAGUUUCUUCGUCUUCGAUAAUCAUUAGAGUAUUCUGUAUUCGAGGAUAAACACCGUUCGUCUCGGUCGUUGAAAACAAACACGCCCGACAGUUUCGAAUGUGUACGUGACAGCUUUGGUUUUAUGCAAGCCGACGUGCCGCGGAUCACGUAUCUCGGAAUCGGCUGUUUCUAAUGCAAGAGCACUAAACACGCGAUCAUCCCUGACCUAGGUUCACCGAGAUUCUUGUAGAAUGUCAAAGCUAUAUUAAGCAUGGAAACGAAUUAAGACAGAGUGCGUUUAUCCGCUUCAGUCCGUACUGCACUCGACAAAAAAUAUUCAACCCUUCGUCGGAAACUUGUAAUGCUAGGGUGUGUACUUUCAGCGUUCGCAGUUCGCGUGUUGCGCAAUCGUGUGUAAUUAUCGGGGGAAAUAAGUUUUACAUCGCGUUCGUUUGAAACGCGGUGCAUCUAGCGACAUGCAUCAUUUUUCUCCGUAAUCAACGCAAAUAAAUAAUGUGACUACGAAAGGAAUUGUGUAAAUCGUUGCAUAUCUUGCGACCAGUGGUUCGCGUGUUCCUCGAAUUCAUCGCGUUGAGAGAGGUUUAAGGGUUGCAUAGACUUUCUCGCUAACUUUUCUCUUGCUUUCUUUCUUCAUUGUCAUUUUUUGUGUACAUUCGUAUUUAGAAUGAACUGGUAUUACUGCUUUCAUUGUGUUGAAGAUACGGUAGAAAUUUCUUCGUUAUUUUAUGGUAAAAAAGAUUCUUGAGCUUCUGAUAUCAGAGACGUUGAUUUAUUCGAGAAUUAGAAAAUACGUCAUUGAAAUGGUACUGGUUAUUUCUAUUGAUCAUGCAGAUGUUUCUCUGCUAAACUCCACUACGGAGAUUCGUGUAUAAGUGUGACUGCAGCUUAACGUUCUAGAUGCAUCUAUGGACCGUCCUACUAUCGAUUCGGUUUCUGACCAAGUUAUACCUGCGAGAUCAUCUGCGCAGUACACCCAGGUCUAAAAUAGUCACGGCGGUGUACUGAGAGAGAUCUGCUCUUUCACUGAAUAUUUACUAAUCAUAUCGCGGAGCGUUUUGGUAGGCUGACGAAAAGAAACGACAGAAUAAAGUUCAUAAACAGAGUAAUAUUUAAAUAGAACCUCAGCAUGGGACACAAAGGGUUUCGAAAUAAAAUGAUCCUUGGGAGACGCAUGACUGUUAUAAAUAACACUCCCAACGCAGAGUUACAAGCGUUGUCACGAAAAAUAGUAUCCCUUUCGUUGCUAUAAAUAGCACCGUUUCAGUGUCUGAAAUAUUGUUUAGCCAUUCUGAUCCAAACAUAAAUACAACAUAAUCUACCAACUCAAUCACGAGCUGUAAUAAAGGAUCGCCAAUAAAAACGAUUUAAAACUUUCGAUUUAUUUCGAACUUCAUAAUAUUCACAGGAUGACAAAUAAAUUAUUUCAAACAUGAUUUUACAUAAAGCUUCGUAGUAUACCUACUAAAUACACAUGACAAUAAAUUACGAAGAGGAUCAUUCAAUUUAUUUUGCAAUAUAAUAAUGCAACGAAAUAAUUAUCCUAAAAGUUCACUUUCGUAAACAUAAAUAGAAUAUCGGCAGUGAAAGUGCGAGCAGCCUGGCCCUCGAAAUGAUUCAAGAAAGUAUGAGAUGAUCGUAAUGGAGGAGGAAUAUGAAUCGCGCGCCAUUUUGUGUCGCGCAGCGACAUCUCCGGAGGUUCCGCGAACCCUUUCGUACAUCGCGGAAGACUAUUACUGACGGACGAUAAAUGAAUGCGAAUGUUCCGUACCUGGCGACUCUUUACGAAGCUACCUUAUAAACGAGUUGCAGCCUCCGAUUUGGCAUUCCGUUUCUGGAGGAGUCCGGAUGCUCGUCGCUCUCCAACGCGACCGGCUCCAAAACGUUGAUCGUUUUCAUCUCGGUGAAGUCAUGCUUGUCGUGCACAACCUCGGUGUACUCUUCCUUCUUCAGCGCGAAGAGGAGUUGAUAAGUGUACGUGCCGAGCAGAGCGCCGAAGGUCGGUCCGAUCCAGUAAAUCUGAAGAAAGGCCGGUUUAAAAAUGAUUAUCGGGGAUUGGAAUGCAAUCUAAUCUCUGCAAUGCCGAGCAAAUGUUUGCACGCCUCUCUCCCUAAGCAUGUGAAGAAACAAUAUCAUCUAUGCCGAUAACGUUAGCCUUAGAAAGCAUAAGGUUAUCCACGGGUAUAAGCUUCUUAUCUCAAAUGACAAAGAUUAGAUCGUAAAGCGACCGGAUUAUGCAACACACUCCGCAACGAGAAGCUGUAAAUCAGCUGAAGGUUCAAUAAAUUCAGCUAUUAGAAAGGUUUACCGACUUACCCACUGAUUCUUCCAGUAGCCGUGGAAGAGCGCUGGGGCAAACGUGCGAGCUGGGUUCAUGCUGCAGCCGG